UUUUUUCUUGGAAUAUUAUAGUGUUAAAAUAAGGCUAUAUUUGAAUGUAUAGUAGAAAAUCUUCACAAAAUUUAUAAAUAGUAGUUUUUAUCUAGAUGAAAUAAAAAAUUCUUUAACUUUAAAAAAUUUCACGAAUUUAAUUUUUAAACUGUUUGGCAGCGCAUUGUGUAAUUUCACGUGAUUUCUCUAAAGACGUAUUAUUAAGGAAUUCUAAUUCGUCGUUAUGUAUUAUUUUUAACUCUAUUCAAAAUUUAUAUUUUUCAAAAAUUUAAAUAAACAAAUAUUUUAUAAAUUAUUUAAUAUAAGAUAAAAUCAAUAUAUAAUGGGGAAUCGAAGGCUCAUGAGUAGGGAUGUUAGCGGGUCAGAUUCGGGACGAAUUUUUAAAAUGCCGAAUCCAAACCCGACUAUCAAAUCCGAAACCCGAAUUCGAAUCCGAACACGACGGAUUUUAAAAUUCCAUAUAUAAAUCCGAGCCCAAGAACGAACACGAAAAUUCGAACUCGAAGCAAUUAUUUUCUUUUACAAUAUUUCAAAAUAUAUUACAUUAAAUAUAAAUUUUUAAAAUACAACUUUAAAUAUAAUAUCAAAUAUUUAUAUAUAUAAUGUAAAAUAAUUUUGGGCUUGGAUCGGGUUUGAAUCGUGUCGGGUACAAUCAAAAUUCAUAUCCGAAUCCAAAUCUGUCAGAUUUUUGGCUUUGAUAGCCAUACUCGAAACUAUAUUCAUUUGAUAUCAGAUAAAUUUAUAUCAUUCGAGUUCAAAUUCAAAUAGAAUUUUGAAUAUCCAUAUUCAUCAACAUCUCUAGUAAUAAGACGUCACUGGUUGGAAUGCUCCUACUUAGGAAUGUCAACCAGUCGAAUUUGAGGCGGAUUUUCAAAAUUUUGAAUCUGAACCCGACUCCAAAUCUAAAAUCCGAACCCGAACCCAAAUCCGACGAAUCUUAAAAAUCCAUAUCCAAACCCAAAUCCGACCAAAAAUCGAAAAUCCGAACCCAAAAAUCCAAACCCGAAAUAAUUAUUUCUAUUUUCAACAUUUUAAAAUAUAUUACAUUAAAUCUAAAUUUUUAAAAUGCAUAUUCAAAUACAACGUCAAAUUUUAUAUACAUAUUAUAUAUAAUGUAAAAUAAAUUCGGGUUCAAAUUCAGAAUAGGUACCGUCAAAAUCUAUAUCCGAAUUUAUAUUCGUUAGAUUUUUGUCUUUAAUAUUUAUAUUUUAAACUAUAUCAGUUUAGCAUCGAAUAAAGUUAUUCCGUUCAUAUUCGAAUUCUGAUAAAAUUUCGGAUAUCCGUACAGAUCAAAAUCCUUACACCCACUUGCUAAAGUUUUAUCCUACGGGCAAGAAUUUAAAUACGGUGGCACGGGAUCAUGCCGAAAACUUACCGACAUGAUUUCUUAUGUGCUGACACAUAAUAACAUGAAACAUUUAUUUUUUUUAGCAACAAAAUAUUCUAACUAUUUAUUAUGUCUUUUUAUCAUAUUUUUUAAAUUUUAUUAAAAAAUUAUUUAUUAAUAUAAAAAAUAAAAAUUUUAAAAUAUGUCAUCGAUAUGAAAUUUGUAUA
RNAcentral lists this long non-coding RNA (1554 nucleotides) under Ananas comosus (pineapple). Its description in RNAcentral is "long non-coding RNA (ACOM_LNC013994)". The record is from RNAcentral. Lineage: Eukaryota; Viridiplantae; Streptophyta; Magnoliopsida; Poales; Bromeliaceae.